This 489-nucleotide ribosomal RNA is filed under the name uncultured bacterium. Its description in RNAcentral is "partial 16S ribosomal RNA". It matches the Rfam family "Bacterial small subunit ribosomal RNA", at positions 30 to 507 of the family's 1533-position model. The record is from RNAcentral.
UUGCACGCUGGCGGCAGGCCUAACACAUGCAAGUCGAACGGUAACAGGAAGAAGCUUGCUUCUUUGCUGACGAGUGGCGGACGGGUGAGUAAUGUCUGGGAAACUGCCUGAUGGAGGGGGAUAACUACUGGAAACGGUAGCUAAUACCGCAUAACGUCGCAAAACCCAAGAGGGGGACCUUCGGGCCUCUUGCCAUCGGAUGUGCCCAGAUGGGAUUAGCUAGUAGGUGGGGUAACGGCUCACCUAGGCGACGAUCCCUAGCUGGUCUGAGAGGAUGACCAGCCACACUGGAACUGAGACACGGUCCAGACUCCUACGGGAGGCAGCAGUGGGGAAUAUUGCACAAUGGGCGCAAGCCUGAUGCAGCCAUGCCGCGUGUAUGAAGAAGGCCUUCGGGUUGUAAAGUACUUUCAGCGGGGAGGAAGGGAGUAAAGUUAAUACCUUUGCUCAUUGACGUUACCCGCAGAAGAAGCACCGGCUAACUCCGUG